This 312-nucleotide unclassified non-coding RNA is filed under the name uncultured fungus. RNAcentral's name for it is "partial contains small subunit ribosomal RNA, internal transcribed spacer 1, and 5.8S ribosomal RNA". The stretch from base 1 to 73 matches the Rfam family "Eukaryotic small subunit ribosomal RNA", at positions 1759 to 1831 of the family's 1831-position model. The record is from RNAcentral. Lineage: Eukaryota; Fungi.
UCAAACUUGGUCAUUUAGAGGAAGUAAAAGUCGUAACAAGGUUUCCGUAGGUGAACCUGCGGAAGGAUCAUUAAUGAAAUCAAAGGUCCAGGUUGUAGCUGGCUUUCUCUGGAAGCAUGUGCACGCCUGUGACCAUUAUCCAUCUCAUCCCUGUGCACCUUUGCGUGGGUCAAGAGGAGCUUUGCGGCUCCUCAAGGCUUGCGUUUUAUUAUAUACCCAUCGUAUGUUUAAGAAUGUCUACUUGCGUUAAUCGCAUCUAAUACAACUUUCAACAACGGAUCUCUUGGCUCUCGCAUCGAUGAAGAACGCAGC